GAUGAAGAACGCAGCGAAAUGCGAUAAGUAAUGUGAAUUGCAGAAUUCAGUGAAUCAUCGAAUCUUUGAACGCACCUUGCGCUCCUUGGUAUUCCGAGGAGCAUGCCUGUUUGAGUGUCAUUAAUAUAUCAACCUUCUCUUUUUUGAGUUGUUUGGAUGUGGGGGUUUGCUGGCCUCUUAAAUGAUUCAGCACCCCUGAAAUGCAUUAGCAGAACAACCUGUUCAUUAGCGUGAUAAUUAUCUAUGCUAUUGAAUGUGAGGGCAGUUCAGCUUUCUAACCGUCCUUGGACAAUUCAUCAUUAAUGUGACCUCAAAUCAGGUAGGACUACCCGCUGAACUUAAGCAUAUCAAUAAGCGGAGGA
This 362-nucleotide unclassified non-coding RNA is filed under the name soil metagenome. RNAcentral describes it as "partial contains 5.8S ribosomal RNA, internal transcribed spacer 2, and large subunit ribosomal RNA". The stretch from base 1 to 120 matches the Rfam family "5.8S ribosomal RNA", at positions 35 to 154 of the family's 154-position model. The record is from RNAcentral.